CACGAGGUGGCAGCAGUGGUAGCUCGUCAGGCUCAUAACCUGAAGGUCGGGGGUUCGAAUCCCUCUCUCGUAA
This 73-nucleotide transfer RNA is filed under the name Myoviridae sp. ctPuP5. RNAcentral describes it as "tRNA-Met". It matches the Rfam family "tRNA". From Rfam's summary of the family: Transfer RNA (tRNA) molecules are approximately 80 nucleotides in length. Lineage: Duplodnaviria; Heunggongvirae; Uroviricota; Caudoviricetes. The record is from RNAcentral.